RNAcentral lists this long non-coding RNA (1005 nucleotides) under Homo sapiens (human). RNAcentral's name for it is "HSALNT0253669". Lineage: Eukaryota; Metazoa; Chordata; Mammalia; Primates; Hominidae. The record is from RNAcentral.
GGGAAAUGAUUUAAUUAUUAAAGCUGUGAACUUUACGUCCGUUCUUUCCCGUGUGUUCACGAUGAUCUCAUAAUUUCCACAUGGACACUCCUGUCUGUCACGUUUCUCAAAGCUGCACCCACACGUGGAUCCCACUGCACGCCUUCAUGCAGGAGCGGUGUGUCCCGGGAGUUUCCCUGACUCCUGUUCUUAGAGGGACAGAGCGACCUCAGGACCUUCUCAAAAGAAGAAGGGAUGUGGCAGACCUGGGGGCACCUCAUUAAAUGAAAUUCUGGGGAGCAUUGGCAGAAGUGGUUGAACCAGAUGCUCAAAGAACCUGAAUCGGCGCUUGUUUGGAAGAGGAUGCACUGCAGAAAUCCUCCUGUAAGUCACAGUAUCCACUUUGGAAAUCCUCCUGUAAGUCAUAGCAUCCACCACAUGUCCUGGCUGCGGAAGAGGCUGGUGGCAGCUUCAAAAGACACCUAAUCUGUAACCAGCACAAAGGGUGGUCGAUGAAGACUCGGUCUCAGUGAAUAAUUUAUUGGCAUAAGCUAAGCACCAAACACAGGAGAUCACCAUAAAACCACAAGGACCAGGACAGCCAUUGAGCUUUGUGGCUUCUUCAUGGGGGAAGACGUGAGACAAAACGUGCUUGGACUUUUCGUCACAACCCUCGGAAAACAGCACGUCCUGAUUUUUCAUCCCAGGCUCCUCCAAGUUUAACUUUCUUUAAAAAUACAUAGGUAAUGAUGAAUAUCUAUCUAUCUAUCCUUUUGAAACACAAUAUUGAUAUUGGCUAUCGGUAUCUGGCUUUUCAUAUCUCCCCCCAUGGCUGAUAUCAGCCACAGGGUAAACAGAAGAUCACAUUUGUUAUAACUGCUAUGGGAAUGUUAUUAAAAAUGGAUACAGUCACGGUAAAUUGGUAGCGGUCAAAAUGUAUUUUAAAUUUACUUGCAGGUGUGUUUGAACACAGAGCAUGACACACACACUGCAUGCUAUAAAUAUGAGAUGUGGAAUGAAUUAUAU